Molecule: ribosomal RNA, 253 nt
Filed under: uncultured bacterium
Lineage: Bacteria
Description: partial 16S ribosomal RNA
Rfam family: Bacterial small subunit ribosomal RNA
Source: RNAcentral
UACGUAGGGUGCGAGCGUUGUCCGGAAUUAUUGGGCGUAAAGGGCUCGUAGGCGGUUUGUCACGUCGGGUGUGAAAACUCAGGGCUUAACCCUGAGCCUGCUUCCGAUACGGGCAGACUAGAGGUAUGCAGGGGAGAAUGGAAUUCCUGGUGUAGCGGUGAAAUGCGCAGAUAUCAGGAGGAACACCAGUGGCGAAGGCGGUUCUCUGGGCAUUACCUGACGCUGAGGAGCGAAAGUGUGGGGAGCGAACAGG